GCGCCUCUCCCGUUGCGCGUGUUCCCGGGUCCUCCAGCCACACUUGCAGACCGUCCCCACUGUCCCGAAGCAGUCGCCCCAGCCCGCCCGGCUGAUGACUUCACUUCCCACAAAGCCUAAUAAUUCAGCCCUCCGCUGCCCUCCCCUCUGCUCGCGGCCGUUCGCAGCCACCCCGCCCUCCCCUCCGCGCCCUCGCAGAAGGAAUCCCAACUUCUUGCCCAGACGCACGCCCCCUCCGUGCGCGCUCGAGGACCUGGCGCGUUCCACCCUGCUGUUGUGGAUUCCAGGAAGCAGCUCUGGGCUUCUGUGUAGGACUCACCUCAGCUCAAAGCCGCAUUCUACUAAUUCACUAAAGGAGGGCCGUAGGCAAGUUACUUUGUCUUCUGACAGAGGUCUGUAAUUUUGAUUGGGAGGCAUUGACUCCCCACAGGGCUUCAGCGAGGUUUAAAGGAGUCUGGCACACAGUAGGGGCUGAAUCAGCUGAUGGUUCACUUUCCCUUUUCCCUAGGCCGGAGACAGUUGGAAAUUAAAAAAAGAAACAACUUUAAAAAUAGAGUUUUCCCACCCCACCGUCUCUAUUCCUCAUUGCCAAACUUCUCAGAAGAAGUUGAGAAGUUGUUUUUUUUUAAUUCAUUUUUUUCUAGUGGUUUAUGUUUAUUGCACUUUAUAUAAACUGGUGGGUUGGGGGUGGGGGGGGUCUUGUCCUUCCCCACAGGUGGUUGGAGAAGACAGGGCAAGAGCCCAAAGAGGGACCCUCCUUCGUGCUAGGAAAGCCGUAAUCCCGUCCUGGGCUCUGCUUGGACCCGUCAAAAGCUUGCAUUUCAACCAUCCUCGGCAUUUUUUGCUGACGUGAAUUGGAAAAUCAUAGUGAUAUCCAAAUUUGUGGAAGGCAAAGUAACAUUUCCACAUGAAAGCAAGCGUGUUCGCAUCUUUGCUGGCCAUUUGCAGAUGGAGGUGAUCUCAGCGAUUGCUCAGGAUGAAAUGAAAUGGAUUUUUAUAGGAAGCGGGUGGCUCAAGCGGUUUUGGGUGCCUGCCUAACACAUGGGAGGUCUCAGUGUCUGUUUCUGGUGCCUUUUAAAGAA
This 1082-nucleotide long non-coding RNA is filed under the name Dasypus novemcinctus (nine-banded armadillo). RNAcentral's name for it is "lncRNA (ENSDNOG00000050297.1)". The record is from RNAcentral. Lineage: Eukaryota; Metazoa; Chordata; Mammalia; Cingulata; Dasypodidae.